Molecule: transfer RNA, 70 nt
Filed under: Salmo salar (Atlantic salmon)
Lineage: Eukaryota; Metazoa; Chordata; Actinopteri; Salmoniformes; Salmonidae
Rfam family: tRNA
About the family: Transfer RNA (tRNA) molecules are approximately 80 nucleotides in length.
Source: Rfam by way of RNAcentral
CCCCAUGUGGCUCAGUUGGUAGAGCAUGGUGUUUGCAACGCCAGGGUUGUGGGUUCGAUUCCCAUGGGGG